AGCGAAGCUUUCUGUGGGAAUAGAUUCGUCGGCAGAGGCUCUCCUCUCUCGGAGGGGGGAAAGCCUACCUGCCUCUUCUAAGCCCCCAUCCCUUAUUUUACUUCUCUUCCUCAUGAUGGUUUGCAAAAUGCUGCAUUUGACAACCCUUCUCAAAAUUCCAAAAGGAAAGAGGUAGGUAUCAUGUUGAAAGACACUGGCACACAGGGGAAUCUGCCCUUCGGUGGAGGUGACAUAACCAGAGAGUCUCUAAAGAGGGGACAUUCCUGUAGGAAAGUGAGGGUAAGUGAUGUGUUAACAAGUGAGGGUGAGUGAUGUGUUAAGGCCACUCUCAUUCAGACUUCUUUUCAAAGCAAGGGGCAGGAAAUACUGUACUGGAGAAAGAGCAAAAGAGAACCUCUGAAAUAAUUCUGCAUCUGUCUAAAGUUAUUUUAUGCUUGUACUUUAGUUACUUUAUUGCCAAAAUAAUUCCCGAAUGCUCAAGAACCAUUCUCUCUCCCACCCUCCCUCCUGAACAUCCUUGGAAAUCUCUCAAGAUUAUUUACUAAGGAGUGAGGAGAAAUAAUGAUUUCAGCCUUUAAUGAGAGAGUCCAUUUUCCCAAACUUAACCCACUGCUUUUCCUUGGUUCCUCUCAGAUUUUAGUAGGGGAGGAAUGUCCUAAAAGCCAAGCUGUGUUACAGAGACAACAUCCCUGGCCACGAGAACCUUUGCUGGGAUCUAUAACUUCAAUGCGCUCCAAGUUUCCUCGAUAGAAGUUUCUGGCUGACGGUCCCAACAUGUAACUGAGGCACAGUGAAAAGUUAUUGUUCAGAGUGUGUACUCGGGAAGCUCUCUUCCAGAGCAGAUUAAAAUCUUUCUUUUGGUGUAUUAAAAGAUACACUUCACAUCUGCCUAUUUUCAAAACGGCAAAGAUUCUUACUUUUGAGUCUCAAGGAAAAAAAAGAUUUUUUUUAAAAAGGACUGGCAUGUCGCCCUGUUUUUUUUUUUUAAUGGGGGAAGUAAUUUAAUGCUGAUAUUUCUACUUUAAAAACUUCUUUUGUUGCAGCAGUGGAUGUGCCCCGCGAUUUCCAGCUUUCUGCGGUUAGCAAUAUUAUCUUAAGUAACUUUUGGCGCCCUUCGUAAGACUUUUGGAUAUGGGACGAUUGUUUGCGCCCUCUAGGCAAGGGCUGGAUCCAAGUUCAGCACCAAAGCCCUUCACAUCCGCUCCUGCUUUCUCUCCUAUCUCCGCCAGCUCCCGCUCCCUCCCCCGCGGAGGGAGGGGGGGAGGCGGGGGAACACUACAAAGCACAGUUCCAACUACAGCCUUUGGAAACAAGACUGAGAAAAAUACAGUAGAAGAGUUACAGUUACAGAAAGGCUUCUGGUAACUUUCUCUCCAACAGGCAUAAAUUUAAACACACGCACAAAGAAACAGAUGUUCCUCAAAGGGCAGACUGGGGGUAAAAAACAUUUCCAACCCUCUCCCCUCUUCCCAAGUUGCAAAAGUAAAUCCUUGUCCAGAGUUCACAAAGAUACUAAGGCACUUGAGAGAGAGCAGGGAUGGAGGAGGAGGGAAGAAAGAAAGGAUAGUAGAGAGAGCAGUGGAGGAAACGCAGGUGAAGUAUGGAAACUAGUUCACUGCAAUCAUAUAAAUGACCCAUUGUUAGGAAGGAUAAACCCCUUAUUGGAAAUAACCUCUCCAAUCAUUUAUUUUCCAAGUGGUAGGAGGCUGCCUUGAAAUGGGAUUGUCUCUGCGCAAAGGAGGCUCCUGUCAUGCUCUCUGCUAUCCAUAUUCUUCCUG
This 1778-nucleotide long non-coding RNA is filed under the name Homo sapiens (human). Its description in RNAcentral is "HSALNT0007913". Lineage: Eukaryota; Metazoa; Chordata; Mammalia; Primates; Hominidae. The record is from RNAcentral.